This 1882-nucleotide long non-coding RNA is filed under the name Sus scrofa (pig). Its description in RNAcentral is "lncRNA (ENSSSCG00060064317.1)". Lineage: Eukaryota; Metazoa; Chordata; Mammalia; Artiodactyla; Suidae. The record is from RNAcentral.
GAUGGCUGUUGUGUAGCACGUUAAACAAUUGGUCCAAGGUCGUGUGGCUCGGAGACCAGCCAGGCUGAUCGAAGGACUCGGGGGUCAUAGGAGAGCAGCAGCACGCACUGAAGGGUCGAGGGGUCCGGGAUCCUGGGACAGCACCAGGGAGGCUGUCCCGGAGACACCUGCCGGAAGAGCCACGUGAGCAGAAAGUGAACUUGAGAUGGGCGAAGCUGCUGGGGGGCCGGGUCCUCUGUCAGAGGGUUGGCUGGCCGGGCUCACCCAGACCCACGUGGGUGGAGCCGCCCGGCUCAUCCCGGCCUCCCAGCCGCUGGUCCAGCUCCGAGUCAGCCUCUCACAGGCCGCGGUGCCUCCGUCCCUGAAGACUGAAUCCUGAACAUCUCACACCAGGAGGCACGGCCAGGAAAGCUGCUGUGCUCUAGCCCUCGGCACAUCCUGCCAGGUAGGUGGCCACGUCUUUGCGGACGGGGCGGGUCAGUCCUGUGUGCCGCCCAUUCCCUUUUCUGUCAACGUUUCCAAGACAAAGAAUAAAAAAAUAAAGUGACCCGUCUAUUCAGUCCUUAAAACUGUAGUGUGUGUGGAUGCAAGCAGGAUGUACCAUCGUUUGUUAUAAAGUGUGAAACUGAGAGAAAGAAGAAACUGUCUCCCCACCUUCCCACAUGCGGACACAUGUUUCUAACCUCAGCGGAGAAGCCAAAGGCACAGGCGUCUCCAAAGAAGGUGCCCGGUGAACACUUCAGCUCCUCGUAGAGGUCUGUCGUUGGUCAUCACGGGCUGCGAGCCGAGUUCCCAGGCCAAUAAAUUAUAAUCCCCACAGCAGGAUCACGUCUCCUCGCUGCCGUCACGGUUAUUAAUACAGUAACUACUGAGACUUCUGUUAGCUGCGGGCUUGACGAAGGAUGUGAGUUUGUCUUCACAGCAUCCCUGGAAGGCAGACAGGUGAGGGCUGUUCUGAACGCCGUUUUAGUGGCGAAGGAGCCGGAAGAGAGAGGCGCAGAGGCGUUUCCCAGUGUAAUGCAGCAAAUCUAAAGCAGACUGAAGUUCGGAACUCCACGAAUUUUGGUUGUUAGUAAACGCCUCGGCAGUGAUUCCCACUCACUGUUCAACCCGGACAGAACCCCUGUGGCUGAGAAGGAUUUUCUCCAGGGUCGGAGAAGAAAACUCUUAAUGGCCUUGGUGGUAGAUUGUAAGGACUUUAUGACUUAUUUCUUUAUUUGUACAGUCGAAUAAAAUUUGUUGACUCGACUGCGAGGGAGAAGGAGAAGGAUCCGCUGGAAACACCUCCUACAAAGGACAUUGCAGUGUGGGCCUAGCGAGGGUAUGGAAGUGUCCCCUGGUAGUCACAGCAGAUCUCUCUGAGUUCCUUUCUGUUCUUUUAGCAUUGGAGAGACUUAGCAUAGCAAGCCGGAACUGUUCCAGGCGAGGAACCACUGCCCAGGUUCGGCUGCAGCUCACUGACCUCCGACCCGUGCUGUUUCAGAGGCUUGCCGUGCGCGUCAGGGAGGCUAGGUCAGCCUCUAGUCAGGGAUCCAGUCCCCAGAUGUCUUUUGUGAUGCACGCUCCUGCCGCUCCUGCCGCAUGAGACAGUCCACCCUGUCUGCAUCGCCCUCGAGCUCCCUCAGACUCCUCCUGUCUCCAUGCAUUUAAUUAGGUUUAUUCCGCCCACUGGGAAAAAACGCUGCCUCCAGGUUGACCUGUACGUCCGAGUCCCUUCCGUCCUUCCAAUACUCUCUUUGAAAGAACUUCAGCGUCUCCUGAUUGCCAGCAUUGCUUUGUGAAAAUUAUUCACUUCUUCUCUUGCUCCUCGGAAGAUUUGUGAAAUCUUGCAACAUAAAAACUGUCACAUUCAGGUUUUUUUUUUUUGUUUGUUCGUUUUUAU